This 286-nucleotide long non-coding RNA is filed under the name Zosterops lateralis melanops. RNAcentral's name for it is "lncRNA (ENSZLMG00000001978.1)". Lineage: Eukaryota; Metazoa; Chordata; Aves; Passeriformes; Zosteropidae. The record is from RNAcentral.
AGGGAAUUGUGCUGCAAAGGGAGUGGGACUGGAGUGAUUGCCUGUCCAGGUGGAAAGCUAUGUCGACCAUGUCCAUACCCUGACGGAAGAGUGGGAUGCCAUUGCCUCUGAGUAUGAGAAGGAGAAUGAGCAGCUCAGAUUGGAGCUGGCACAGCAACGGCUGAAGCAGGAAACCCAGCUGAAGGAGGUGGAGGAGAUGCUGGAGCAGGAAGGUUUAUCCCAGAUCUCCUGCAGUGCUGCCAGUGAACAGGUUGCAUAUUUCCUGGUGGAGCGGGUGGCACUGCUA